GUACGUUAGCGGCGGACGGGUGAGUAACACGUGGGUAACCUACCUAUAAGACUGGGAUAACUUCGGGAAACCGGAGCUAAUACCGGAUAAUAUUUCGAACCGCAUGGUUCGAUAGUGAAAGGUGGUUUUGCUAUCACUUAUAGAUGGACCCGCGCCGUAUUAGCUAGUUGGUAAGGUAACGGCUUACCAAGGCGACGAUACGUAGCCGACCUGAGAGGGUGAUCGGCCACACUGGAACUGAGACACGGUCCAGACUCCUACGGGAGGCAGCAGCU
This 275-nucleotide ribosomal RNA is filed under the name uncultured Staphylococcus sp. RNAcentral's name for it is "partial 16S ribosomal RNA". It matches the Rfam family "Bacterial small subunit ribosomal RNA", at positions 87 to 355 of the family's 1533-position model. Lineage: Bacteria; Bacillati; Bacillota; Bacilli; Caryophanales; Staphylococcaceae. The record is from RNAcentral.